AGGACGAACGCUGGCGGCGUGCCUAAUACAUGCAAGUCGAGCGCAGGAAACCGUCUGAACCCUUCGGGGGGACGACGGCGGAAUGAGCGGCGGACGGGUGAGUAACACGUAAAGAACCUGCCCACGGGUCUGGGAUAACCACGAGAAAUCGGGGCUAAUACCGGACGGGUCAUCGGACCGCAUGGUCCGAGGAUGAAAGGCGCUCCGGCGUCGCCCGUGGAUGGCUUUGCGGUGCAUUAGCUAGUUGGUGGGGUAACGGCCCACCAAGGCGACGAUGCAUAGCCGACCUGAGAGGGUGAUCGGCCACACUGGGACUGAGACACGGCCCAGACUCCUACGGGAGGCAGCAGUAGGGAAUCUUCCACAAUGGACGAAAGUCUGAUGGAGCAACGCCGCGUGAACGAUGAAGGCCCUCGGGUCGUAAAGUUCUGUUGUAAGGGAAGAACAAGUGCCGCAGGCAAUGGCGGCACCUUGACGGUACCUUGCGAGAAAGCCACGGCUAACUACGUGCCAGCAGCCGCGGUAAUACGUAGGUGGCAAGCG
Molecule: ribosomal RNA, 543 nt
Filed under: uncultured Bacillota bacterium
Lineage: Bacteria; Bacillati; Bacillota
Description: bacterial SSU rRNA
Rfam family: Bacterial small subunit ribosomal RNA
Source: RNAcentral